Molecule: ribosomal RNA, 216 nt
Filed under: Glomus sp.
Lineage: Eukaryota; Fungi; Glomeromycota; Glomeromycetes; Glomerales; Glomeraceae
Description: partial small subunit ribosomal RNA
Rfam family: Eukaryotic small subunit ribosomal RNA (bases 38-216)
Source: RNAcentral
GGAUCAAUAUAUCGGUCGUGCCUUCGGUAUGUACUGGUAUUAUUGGUUUCUCCUUUCUGACAAACUAUGAUGUCAUUAAUUUGGUGUCAUGGGGAAUCAGGACUGUUACUUUGAAAAAAUUAGAGUGUUUAAAGCAGGCACACGCUUGAAUACAUUAGCAUGGAAUAAUGAAAUAGGACGUUUGACCCUAUUUUGUUGGUUUCUAGGAUCGACGUA